UGGGGAAUUUUGGACAAUGGGGGAAACCCUGAUCCAGCCAUCCCGCGUGUGCGAUGAAGGCCUUCGGGUUGUAAAGCACUUUUGGCAGGAAAGAAACGUCAUGGGUUAAUACCCCGUGAAACUGACGGUACCUGCAGAAUAAGCACCGGCUAACUACGUGCCAGCAGCCGCGGUAAUACGUAGGGUGCAAGCGUUAAUCGGAAUUACUGGGCGUAAAGCGUGCGCAGGCGGUUCGGAAAGAAAGAUGUGAAAUCCCAGAGCUCAACUUUGGAACUGCAUUUUUAACUACCGGGCUAGAGUGUGUCAGAGGAAGGUGGAAUUCCGCGUGUAGCAGUGAAAUGCGUAGAUAUGCGGAGGAACACCGAUGGCGAAGGCAGCCUCCUGGGAUAACACUGACGCUCAUGCACGAAAGCGUGGGGAGCAAACAGG
Molecule: ribosomal RNA, 429 nt
Filed under: Acidobacteriota bacterium
Lineage: Bacteria; Pseudomonadati; Acidobacteriota
Description: Acidobacteria bacterium partial 16S ribosomal RNA
Rfam family: Bacterial small subunit ribosomal RNA
Source: RNAcentral